Molecule: ribosomal RNA, 520 nt
Filed under: uncultured Glomus
Lineage: Eukaryota; Fungi; Glomeromycota; Glomeromycetes; Glomerales; Glomeraceae
Description: SSU rRNA
Rfam family: Eukaryotic small subunit ribosomal RNA
Source: RNAcentral
AGCAGCCGCGGUAAUUCCAGCUCCAAUAGCGUAUAUUAAAGUUGCUGCAGUUAAAAAGCUCGUAGUUGAAUUUCGGGACCGAUAUAUCGGUCGUGCCUCGGUACGUACUGGUAUUUUCGGUUUCUACCUUCUGACGAACCUUGAUGUCAUUAAUUUGGUGUCUUGGGGAAUCAGGACUGUUACUUUGAAAAAAUUAGAGUGUUUAAAGCAGGCUCACGCUUGAAUACAUUAGCAUGGAAUAAUGAAAUAGGACGUUUGAUUCUAUUUUGUUGGUUUCUAGGAUCGACGUAAUGAUUAAUAGGGAUAGUUGGGGGCAUUGGUAUUCAAUUGUCAGAGGUGAAAUUCUUGGAUUUAUUGAAGACUAACUACUGCGAAAGCAUUUGCCAAGGAUGUUUUCAUUAAUCAAGAACGAAAGUUAGGGGAUCGAAGACGAUCAGAUACCGUCGUAGUCUUAACCAUAAACUAUGCCGACUAGGGAUCGGAUGAUGUAAUUUUUAAUGACUCAUUCGGCGCCUUACGG